Long non-coding RNA from Misgurnus anguillicaudatus (oriental weatherfish), 2734 nucleotides. RefSeq lists it as uncharacterized. Lineage: Eukaryota; Metazoa; Chordata; Actinopteri; Cypriniformes; Cobitidae. The record is from RefSeq and is a predicted model, not a curated record.
UUGGAAAAAACUGUAUGUUUUGUUCUCAUUUAGUUACAUUAUAGAAAUUAUACCUGUUACAAUUAUAUCUGAAAAAUAAAAACUCAUUUGUCCAAAUGAUUGUAGAUGUCUUCAUUGAUCCUUUCCUUGAUUACAGAUAGAUGGAUAUUUUGGAAAUUAUAGAUUAUGUAAUGUAAGUGUAUUGCCUAAUGUAAAACUGUGUGAUAUGUAUUUUAUAGUACUGUAGCAUAUUUAUUUAAGCACCUUUAAGGCUGAUUUGAAACAUGUAUCUUGCAUUGUCUGCUGUUGGAUGAACUGAUUGUUAAAAGUACUAAACUGAAAGAAGAUCAUACCGUUAUGUUUCGGUGAUUAAACCAAAUGUUCUCAUUACAUAUUACAAUAAUCUUGAAUUUGAAACAAUGAUUAUGUGGACUGAAAACAUGUGCAACUUACUGAAAGCAUUACAUCAAGAAUAACUAGUUGCGUUACAAGUGUGAUCAGUUUGGAUUUUUGUACUACCUGUAAGAGUUUUGAAAAUGUACACCUUACUUGUGAAAAUAGUACCAAAGCGAAAAAAACUGUAAUGUAUAGAUGGGAAGUAAAUAAAAAAAUGAUAUAUUAUUUGUAUCAUUAAAAAUGUAUAUAUUUUUUGACAUUACUCUUUUAAUCUCUGGGGUCAUUUUUACCCCCAAGGGACUUUAACAUAUACAGGAAUAUAGGGUCUUAUGAGGGUUAAUUAAAGUCUUCCUGUAGUAAAGAAUUGAAUAAUUUAAAAUGAAUAUUUGAGCAUCAUAAUAGCAUGUAUAAAAGUUUUACCUGUCACAGUUAUUUCCUUUAAAACAGCUUGAAUGUAACUCUACAGCCCUGCCUUAUUAAGUGUACGUGGAUUUAUUAAUUUGUAAAUUAGUCCCGCCUCCACUUAAUUCCACAGCUCGGACAAUUUAAAUGAAUAUGCGAAUUAGUCCCUGUCUCCACUCUUUCACACCACCUGGGGCAUAGAUAUAUUUGUAAAUAGAUGACACAUUCGGCAGUUUCGGACACAUAAAUGUUAAGUUCAGUUUCACACAAUGCAUACGUGAACUGCACGUUUCCAGGACUAAUCUUUAAGCGCUGAUGUUAACAGGUUACAGCACUUAUCCUGCAUGUGUGAGCAGCACGUUUAAGCAGCAUACACUCCUAAGAAAAAUGGUUCUUCAAAGGUUCUUAAACGAUGACAAAGGUUCUAUAUAGAACCAUAGCUUACUAAAGAACUCUUUUUUGCUGAAAUGGUUCUUUAAUUCCCACAUUUUUUGUCCAGUCAGUUUUUUUAAGCUGCCUCCUGAUAAGUUUCACCUGUAAAAGCCCUGAAUCAUCAGUCCUGCUGAACCGCCUGCAGACUAACAACAGAAACAGCUAGUAAAAUAAUAUUUUUUUACUGUUAAAAACAUUUUGAAAAUUAAAGUUUUGUGUGUUCUUAUUGUACUUUAAGCUUCAUUCCCUUUAUAACAGGUAAGCUUCAUACUGUUUUAAGUGAUGUAUUUAGGGUACUCUGCUUUAACAAUGACUUAGGAUAAUGUGUUAAAGUGUUAAAAAGCAUUUACAUGUAAAUUGUACAUUAAGUUUAUUAAACAUAAUUAUCAAAGGAAUGUGGUACAAAAUAUUAUUAUUGAUAUUUCAGAGUUUUCGUAUGUGAGGUAAUCUUGCUUAUGCUGGAAGUGAAGGCAGUGCGUAUGACCACUUGAUAAAGACACAUCCUGUUUUUAAAGGUGGAUUAUGAGUGAAGCUCUAAAAAGUUGGAUAGUUGCAGUUCGGCCAUUGUCUUGAUAACAGUGGUUUAUAUGAAUUCAAUUUAUGAAUAAGUAUUUCACCAAUUUACUGACAAAAACAGACCCAAAUCUUGUUCGGCCUGAUGCUCAACCUUGUACAGUCCACCAGAUGAUGGACUCUGUAAAUUGAUGGGAAUCUGUGGUAAUCACAACCAUGUGGUGGACGACCUCCACGAGGUGAGACCACACAAGCCAGUGCGGGCUGAGCAGACCUUCGCUCACUCUUACUUUUGGGCACACCACGUGGAGGAAGUCGUGGAGGAGGUCGAGGGGGCACAGGUGGGGCAGUAAUUUUACUGUCAGUUGAUGGCAGAAGAUCCAGGGCUGUGGUGAAGUAAAAAACUUUGGCAAUUUAUACAUGGUGGCAAAGCUUGCGGUUUUGGAUGUUGAGAAGAUGCACUGUUCUGCAGCCUAGUGACUCCAUUGACGGUACCCAGACUAGUUUCAUACCAGGUCUGUGAAGAUGGCAAAUGCAGUGACAGUGUUUCUCCUCUGAAUGGGUAGGUGGCGGUGUUGCGCACUGAUGCUUUUCCAUGGUAUCACCGGCCAAGUUAACUACAUCGCUGCCAUCAGGAGCUGAGCGAAAAGAGGAUGCUUACUGCUAUUUGCUUCCCGGUCCUUGGCUUUAAGUCACACAAAGCCUUGUCCUUUCUACUAGUGGAGCGAAUGUGACUUGAUGGGUGGUGUAAUGCACUGAGAUUUGGUUUUGGUGGAGGAUUGGGCUUUUUUGGAAUGAUCAUGGCCACUAGCCUUUCCACAUGGCUGAAAAUGGGAAGUAGGUCACCACACCAGUUGAGGAUUCUUACAGUAAAAUGAGGGUUGUUUGCCCCAUGUAUACAGAUGCAGAACAUAUCACAAUGCACUGUUGCUUUGAUUGUACACAGUAUUUGGGUAUUUGGUAAAGGAAUUUUGCCAAUAAAGGAUUGGCACUUCUGGCUGAAAGACCGACA